GAGCGGCGGCUGCCUACCAUGCGAGUCUGACGGCAGCAGGUCCUUCGGGAUGCUGGCGAGUGGCGGACGGGUGAGUAAUGCGUAAGAACCUAUCCUUUUGUGGGGGACAACCCAGGGAAACUUGGGCUAAUACCGCAUAAGCCCUGAGGGGGAAAGCGGGGGAUCUUCGGACCUCGUGCUGAAGGAGGGGCCUACGUCCGAUUAGCUAGUUGGUGGGGUAAAGGCCUACCAAGGCGACGAUCGGUAGCUGGUCUGAGAGGACGACCAGCCACACUGGGACUGAGACACGGCCCAGACUCCUACGGGAGGCAGCAGUGGGGAAUUUUUCGCAAUGGGGGCAACCCUGACGAAGAGAUGCCGCGUGGAUGAAGAAGGCCUUCGGGUUGUAAAGUCCUUUCGUGGGGGACGAAAAGGCGGAUCCGAAUACGGUCUGCUAUUGACGUGAACCCAAGAAGAAGCACCGGCUAACUCCGUGCCAGCAGCCGCGGUAAU
This 492-nucleotide ribosomal RNA is filed under the name uncultured bacterium. RNAcentral describes it as "bacterial SSU rRNA". It matches the Rfam family "Bacterial small subunit ribosomal RNA", at positions 38 to 524 of the family's 1533-position model. The record is from RNAcentral.